ACCGGCGCACGGGUGCGUAACGCGUAUGCAAUCUACCUUGUACAGGGGGAUAGCCCAGAGAAAUUUGGAUUAAUACCCCAUAGUAUCUUCGGAAGGCAUCUUCUGAUUAUUAAAGUUCCAACGGUACAAGGUGAGCAUGCGUCCCAUUAGCUAGUUGGUGUGGUAACGGCACACCAAGGCAACGAUGGGUAGGGGUCCUGAGAGGGAGAUCCCCCACACUGGUACUGAGACACGGACCAGACUCCUACGGGAGGCAGCAGUGAGGAAUAUUGGUCAAUGGACGCAAGUCUGAACCAGCCAUGCCGCGUGCAGGAUGACGGUCCUAUGGAUUGUAAACUGCUUUUGUACAGGAAGAAACACUCCCUCGUGAGGGAGCUUGACGGUACUGUAAGAAUAAGGAUCGGCUAACUCCGUGCCAGCAGCCGCGGUAAUACGGAGGAUCCAAGCGUUAUCCGGAAUCAUUGGGUUUAAAGGGUCCGUAGGCGGUUUUAUAAGUCAGUGGUGAAAGCCAGCAGCUCAACUGUUGAACGGCCAUUGAUACUGUAAGACUUGAAUUACUUGGAAGUAACUAGAAUAUGUAGUGUAGCGGUGAAAUGCUUAGAGAUUACAUGGAAUACCAAUUGCGAAGGCAGGUUACUACGAGUAUAUUGACGCUGAUGGACGAAAGCGUGGGGAGCGAACAGGAUUAGAUACCCUGGUA
RNAcentral lists this ribosomal RNA (700 nucleotides) under uncultured bacterium. RNAcentral's name for it is "bacterial SSU rRNA". It matches the Rfam family "Bacterial small subunit ribosomal RNA", at positions 94 to 792 of the family's 1533-position model. The record is from RNAcentral.